GGAGGAAAAGAAACCAACAGGGAUUGCCUUAGUAGCGGCGAGUGAAGCGGCAAAAGCUCAAAUUUGAAAUCUGGCGCCUUCGGUGUCCGAGUUGUAAUUUGAAGAUUGUAACCUUGGGGUUGGCUCUUGUCUAUGUUUCUUGGAACAGGACGUCACAGAGGGUGAGAAUCCCGUGCGAUGAGAUGCCCAAUCCUAUGUAAGGUGCUUUCGAAGAGUCGAGUUGUUUGGGAAUGCAGCUCUAAGUGGGUGGUAAAUUCCAUCUAAAGCUAAAUAUUGGCGAGAGACCGAUAGCGAACAAGUACAGUGAUGGAAAGAUGAAAAGAACUUUGAAAAGAGAGUGAAAAAGUACGUGAAAUUGUUGAAAGGGAAGGGUUUGAGAUCAGACUCGAUAUUUUGUGAGCCUUGCCUUCGUGGCGGGGUGACCCGCAGCUUAUCGGGCCAGCAUCGGUUUGGGCGGUAGGAUAAUGGCGUAGGAAUGUGACUUUACUUCGGUGAAGUGUUAUAGCCUGCGUUGAUGCUGCCUGCCUAGACCGAGGACUGCGAUUUUAUCAAGGAUGCUGGCAUAAUGAUCCCAAACCGCCCGUCUUGAAA
RNAcentral lists this ribosomal RNA (591 nucleotides) under Meyerozyma carpophila. Its description in RNAcentral is "partial 26S ribosomal RNA". It matches the Rfam family "Eukaryotic large subunit ribosomal RNA", at positions 52 to 659 of the family's 3401-position model. Lineage: Eukaryota; Fungi; Ascomycota; Pichiomycetes; Serinales; Debaryomycetaceae. The record is from RNAcentral.